GCGGGGUCACGCCCCGGGUGCGUCGCAGCCCCGGAACCAGGCGCCCGCCGGAGGGACCAACCAAACUCUUUACUGUAGUCCCCUCGCGGACGUUAUUUCUUACAGCUCUGAGCAAAAAAUUCAAAAUGAAUCAAAACUUUCAACAACGGAUCUCUUGGUUCUGGCAUCGAUGAAGAACGCAGCGAAAUGCGAUAAGUAAUGUGAAUUGCAGAAUUCAGUGAAUCAUCGAAUCUUUGAACGCACAUUGCGCCCGCCAGUAUUCUGGCGGGCAUGCCUGUCCGAGCGUCAUUUCAACCCUCGAACCCCUCCGGGGGGUCGGCGUUGGGGAUCGGGAACCCCUCAGACGGGAUCCCGGCCCCGAAAUACAGUGGCGGUCUCGCCGCAGCCUCUCCUGCGCAGUAGUUUGCACAACUCGCACCGGGAGCGCGGCGCGUCCACGUCCGUAAAACACCCAACUUUCUGAAAUGUUGACCUCGGAUCAGGUAGGAAUACCCGCUGAACUUAAGCAUAUCAAUAAGCGGAGGAA
RNAcentral lists this ribosomal RNA (526 nucleotides) under Trichoderma sp. BAB-4526. RNAcentral's name for it is "eukaryotic LSU rRNA". The stretch from base 135 to 288 matches the Rfam family "5.8S ribosomal RNA". Lineage: Eukaryota; Fungi; Ascomycota; Sordariomycetes; Hypocreales; Hypocreaceae. The record is from RNAcentral.